CAUGCAGUCGAACGAUACUACCGGGCUUGCUCGGUAGGAAAGUGGCGCACGGGUGCGUAACGCGUAUGCAACCUACCUUAAUCAGGGGGAUAGCCCGAAGAAAUUCGGAUUAACACCGCAUAAAAUCACAGUACAGCAUUGUACAAUGAUCAAAUAUUUAUAGGAUUAAGAUGGGCAUGCGUGUCAUUAGUUAGUUGGCGAGGUAACGGCUCACCAAGACCACGAUGACUAGGGGAUCUGAGAGGAUGACCCCCCACACUGGUACUGAGACACGGACCAGACUCCUACGGGAGGCAGCAGUAAGGAAUAUUGGUCAAUGGAGGCAACUCUGAACCAGCCAUGCCGCGUGCAGGAAGACAGCCCUCUGGGUCGUAAACUGCUUUUAUUCGGGAAUAAACCUACUUACGUGUAAGUAGCUGAAUGUACCGAAGGAAUAAGGAUCGGCUAACUCCGUGCCAGCAGCCGCGGUAAUACGGAGGAUCCAAGCGUUAUCCGGAUUUAUUGGGUUUAAAGGGUGCGUAGGCGGCUUAUUAAGUCAGGGGUGAAAGACGGUGGCUCAACCAUCGCAGUGCCCUUGAUACUGAUGAGCUUGAAUACACUAGAGGUAGGCGGAAUGUGACAAGUAGCGGUGAAAUGCAUAGAUAUGUCACAGAACACCGAUUGCGAAGGCAGCUUACUAUGGUGUUAUUGACGCUGAGGCACGAAAGCGUGGGGAUCAAACAGGAUUAGAUACCCUGGUAGUCCACGCCCUAAACGAUGAAUACUCGCUGUUAGCGAUACACAGUUAGCGGCUAAGCGAAAGCGUUAAGUAUUCCACCUGGGGAGUACGCCCGCAAGGGUGAAACUCAAAGGAAUUGACGGGGGCCCGCACAAGCGGAGGAGCAUGUGGUUUAAUUCGAUGAUACGCGAGGAACCUUACCCGGGCUUGAAAGUUAGUGAAUGAUCUAGAGAUAGAUCAGUGAGCAAUCACACGAAACUAGG
RNAcentral lists this ribosomal RNA (981 nucleotides) under Pedobacter steynii. RNAcentral's name for it is "bacterial SSU rRNA". It matches the Rfam family "Bacterial small subunit ribosomal RNA", at positions 54 to 1038 of the family's 1533-position model. The record is from RNAcentral. Lineage: Bacteria; Pseudomonadati; Bacteroidota; Sphingobacteriia; Sphingobacteriales; Sphingobacteriaceae.